GGGUAGUGAAGGUAGGACGGAGAGGAUUGGAACGGGGUAGUGAAGGUAGGAUGGAGUGGAUUGGAACGGGGUAGUGAAGGUAGGACAGAGAGGAUUGGAACGGGGUAGUGAAGGUAGGACAGAGAGGAUUGGAACGGGGGAGUGAAGGUAGGACAGAGAGGAUUGGAACGGGGUAGUGAAGGUAGGAUGGAGAGGAUUGGAACGGGGUAGUGAAGGUAGGAUGGAGUGGAUUGGAACGGGGUAGUGAAGGUGGGAAACGGGGUAGUGAAGUUGGAACGGGGGAGUGAAGGUAGGAUGGAGAGGAUUGGAACGGGGCCUCGGGGGGAGUGAAGGUAGGAUGGAGAGGCUUGGAACGGGGUAGUGAAGGUGGAACGGGGGAGUGAAGGUAGGACAGAGAGGAUUGGAACGGGGACUCGGGGGAGUGAAGGUAGGAUGGAGAGGAUUGGAACGGGGUAGUGAAGGUAGGACGGAGAGGAUUGGAACGGGGUAGUGAAGUUGGAACGGGGUAGUGAAGGUAGGACAGAGAGGAUUGGAACGGGGUAGUGAAAGUAGGAUGGAGAGGAUUGGAACGGGGGAGUGAAGGUAGGACAGAGAGGAUUGGAACGGGGUAGUGAAGGUAGGAUGGAGAGGAUUGGAACGGGGGAGUGAAGGUGGGAUGGAGAGGAUAGGAACGGGGGAGUGAAGGUAGGAUGGAGAGGAUAGGAACGGGGGAGAGAAGGUAGGACGGAGAGGAUUGGAACGGGGUAGUGAAGGUGGGAUGGAGAGGAUAGGAACGGGGUAGUGAAGGUAGGACGGAGAGGAUUGGAACGGGACCUCGGGGGGAGUGAAGGUAGGACGGAGAGGAUUGGAACGGGGUAGUGAAGGUAGGAUGGAGAGGAUUGGAACGGGACCUCGGGGGGAGUGAAGGUAGGACGGAGAGGAACGGGGGAGUGAAGGUAGGACGGAGAGGAUUGGAACGGGGGCGUACUCUGAGUUUCCUCUUGGGGGCUUUGUGUUUGGCGGUUGUUGCUCCCCUACGAUGCGUCACAAACUUCCCUGGAGUCGGACUGAGAGAGAGAGAGAGGGGGGAGAGAGAGAGAGACAGGGAGAGAGAGAGGGGGUAGAGAGAGAGAGAGACAGGGAGAGAGAGACAGGGAGAGAGAGAGAGGGAGAGGGGGGUAGAGAGAGAGAGAGACAGG
This 1178-nucleotide long non-coding RNA is filed under the name Salmo salar (Atlantic salmon). Its description in RNAcentral is "lncRNA (ENSSSAG00000093786.1)". Lineage: Eukaryota; Metazoa; Chordata; Actinopteri; Salmoniformes; Salmonidae. The record is from RNAcentral.